This 468-nucleotide ribosomal RNA is filed under the name uncultured bacterium. RNAcentral's name for it is "partial 16S ribosomal RNA". It matches the Rfam family "Bacterial small subunit ribosomal RNA", at positions 28 to 507 of the family's 1533-position model. The record is from RNAcentral.
GACGAACGCUGGCGGCGUGCUUAACACAUGCAAGUCGAACGGAAAGGCCCUGCUUUUGUGGGGUGCUCGAGUGGCGAACGGGUGAGUAACACGUGAGUAACCUGCCCUUGACUUUGGGAUAACUUCAGGAAACUGGGGCUAAUACCGGAUAGGAGCUCCUGCUGCAUGGUGGGGGUUGGAAAGUUUCGGCGGUUGGGGAUGGACUCGCGGCUUAUCAGCUUGUUGGUGGGGUAGUGGCUUACCAAGGCUUUGACGGGUAGCCGGCCUGAGAGGGUGACCGGCCACAUUGGGACUGGGAUACGGCCCAGACUCCUACGGGAGGCAGCAGUGGGGAAUAUUGCACAAUGGGCGGAAGCCUGAUGCAGCAACGCCGCGUGCGGGAAUACGGCCUUCGGGUUGUAAACCGCUUUCGCCUGUGACGAAGCGUGAGUGACGGUAAUGGGUAAAGAAGCACCGGCUAACUACGUG